Molecule: long non-coding RNA, 220 nt
Filed under: Nicotiana benthamiana
Lineage: Eukaryota; Viridiplantae; Streptophyta; Magnoliopsida; Solanales; Solanaceae
Description: long non-coding RNA (NBEN_LNC029083)
Source: RNAcentral
CUACAAAGGUUCCAUCUCUCAUAGCAGGUGGAAUGUAACUCAAUGUGUUACCUUUUUGAGAGCUCCUAUUCUUCUGCAUGGAAGCCUUUUUCCUUUCUUCUCCCCCUGGAUCUACUACAUCUUGCUGGAUCUGAGCUGAAUUUGCUUGUGCUGAGAAUUGCAGUCGCCUGUGGAUUAGUAGUUGCUCCGCGGUUUCCUUCACGUGUGUUUACUCUUCGCA